This 253-nucleotide ribosomal RNA is filed under the name uncultured bacterium. RNAcentral describes it as "partial 16S ribosomal RNA". It matches the Rfam family "Bacterial small subunit ribosomal RNA", at positions 524 to 776 of the family's 1533-position model. The record is from RNAcentral. RNAcentral also lists the same sequence under 1 other name.
UACGUAGGUGGCAAGCGUUGUCCGGAUUUAUUGGGUUUAAAGGGUGCGUAGGUUGUUCCAUAAGUCAGUGGUGAAAUACGGCAGCUCAACUGUCGAGGUGCCAUUGAUACUGCGGAACUUGAGUACAGACGAGGUAGGCGGAAUUGACGGUGUAGCGGUGAAAUGCUUAGAUAUCGUCAAGAACACCGAUAGCGAAGGCAGCUUACUAGACUGUAACUGACACUGAGGCACGAAAGUGUGGGGAUCAAACAGG